RNAcentral lists this ribosomal RNA (301 nucleotides) under uncultured bacterium. Its description in RNAcentral is "partial 16S ribosomal RNA". It matches the Rfam family "Archaeal small subunit ribosomal RNA", at positions 459 to 760 of the family's 1478-position model. The record is from RNAcentral.
CAGUCGCCACGGUAAUACCAGCACCUCGAGUGGUCAGGAGGUUUAUUGGGCCUAAAGCAUCCGUAGCCGGUUGCAUAAGUUUUCGGUUAAAUCUAUGCGCUUAACGUAUAGGCCGCCGAAAAUACUGUGCAGCUAGGGAGUGGGAGAGGUACACGGUACUCGAUAGGAAGGGGUAAAAUCCUUUGAUCUAUUGAUGACCACCUGUGGCGAAGGCGGUGUACCAGAACACGUUCGACGGUGAGGGAUGAAAGCUGGGGGAGCAAACAGGAUUAGAGACCCCUGUAGUCCCUGUCUCUUAUAC